RNAcentral lists this transfer RNA (72 nucleotides) under Scleropages formosus (Asian bonytongue). RNAcentral's name for it is "tRNA-Ala". Lineage: Eukaryota; Metazoa; Chordata; Actinopteri; Osteoglossiformes; Osteoglossidae. The record is from RNAcentral.
AGCAGGUGGCGUAGCCGUUAGGGCUAUUGCCUUGCAAUCAACAGACCUGGGUUCUAAUCUCUGAUCCUGCUG